GCCAGUUAAUAUGGGGAGAACUUCUCUAUCUGAAUCUUUAACUACGUUGCUCCUUCAGUUCCCUUGACAAAACAGUUUUGCUCAAGAAAUACUGUGGACCCUCAAUGACCCAGAAGCCUACCACAGUUGGGGGAAGAAGCCACAAGACGAAAACAAUGGGCAGCAAGGAAGCAGAUUCUCCUCAGAACCUCCAAAAGAAGUGUUUUAGUACUUCUGACUUCAGAAAGAUCACAAUCUGAGAGCAUGGGGCUGGAAAUUUCCUGUCCAAACAUACCUGGGCCUGUUUCCAGGGACUGGAAGGGUCUCUUCUCUGGAUCUGUUCCUCUUGGGAUGGAUUACAAAUGACAUGCUGAGGUCUGACAUGCCACCAAGAAGGUUUGUGAGCAUGGAUGUGGGAGGAUGGAGCUUGAUGGCCACAUACAUGUUGCCGGGCCCCUUCUGAUGAAUGAUCGCAUGGAGCUGGGACAUGAACAAGGACAG
Cervus elaphus (red deer) is the source of this 480-nucleotide long non-coding RNA. RefSeq lists it as uncharacterized. The transcript is spliced from 4 exons. NCBI's taxonomy places the organism in Eukaryota, Metazoa, Chordata, Mammalia, Artiodactyla, Cervidae. The record is from RefSeq and is a predicted model, not a curated record.